GUUAAAUAUCAGCCUCUCAACAAUGCCAUGAAAACCUUCAACAUGUUCAACCUAGCAAACCACUGAUUGGCUAUGUUACCGCUUGCUUAACCCUGUAUUAGCGUUGCUAGUUGCAGGUGCAGAUGCUUCCAUGUGAUAACAUGGGUUCCUUGUCAUAUCACCAUAUAUUAAUGCUAUUUAAUUUAAUGCACCUAUAUACUUGGUAGAAGGUGGAAGGCUCGGCCUUUCUAGCCUGGUGUUUUGUUCCACCUUUGCCCCCUUAGUUUUCGGCUACCGGUGUUAUGUUCCAUAAUUGAGCGCUCCUAACACGAUCG
Molecule: long non-coding RNA, 314 nt
Filed under: Hordeum vulgare
Lineage: Eukaryota; Viridiplantae; Streptophyta; Magnoliopsida; Poales; Poaceae
Description: long non-coding RNA (HVUL_LNC003406)
Source: RNAcentral